UUACCCAUAAACACAUCUACAUAUAAAACAAUAAUCCACCCCAGUAGAGUCAUAUUACCCAUAAACACAACAGAAAUGGUUCCGAUGAUUUUUCAUGCCAUUUAAUAUUUCACGUCGUGAAUUGUACAAUCAUUUCAUACUCAGCGUGUAUUUGGUGAAGGUUGACUGUGUGGUGUAGGUUGACUGUGUGGUGUAGGUUGACUGUGUGGUGUAGGUUGACUGUGUGGUGUAGGUUGACUGUGUGGUGUAGGUUGACUGUGUGGUGUAGGUUGACUGUGUGGUGUAGGUUGACUGUGUGGUGUAGGUUGACUGUGUGGUGUAGGUUGACUGUGUGGUGUAGGUUGACUGUGUGGUGUAGGUUGACUGUGUGGUGUAGGUUGACUGUGUGGUGUAGGUUGACUGUGUGGUGUAGGUUGACUGUGUGGUGUAGGUUGACUGUGUGGUGUAGGUUGACUGUGUGGUGUAGGUUGACUGUGUGGUGUAGGUUGACUGUGUGGUGUAGGUUGACUGUGUGGUGAAGGUUGACUGUGUGGUGUAGGUUGACUGUGUGGUGUAGGUUGACUGUGUGGUGUAGGUUGACUGUGUGGUGUAGGUUGACUGUGUGGUGUAGGUUGACUGUGUGGUGUAGGUUGACUGUGUGGUGUAGGUUGACUGUGUGGUGUAGGUUGACUGUGUGGUGUAGGUUGACUGUGUGGUGUAGGUUGACUGUGUGGUGAAGGUUGACUGUGUGGUGUAGGUUGACUGUGUGGUGUAGGUUGACUGUGUGGUGUAGGUUGACUGUGUGGUGUAGGUUGACUGUGUGGUGUAGGUUGACUGUGUGGUGUAGGUUGACUGUGUGGUGUAGGUUGACUGUGUGGUGUAGGUUGACUGUGUGGUGAAGGUUGACUGUGUGGUGUAGGUUGACUGUGUGGUGUAGGUUGACUGUGUGGUGAAGGUUGACUGUGUGGUGUAGGUUGACUGUGUGGUGUAGGUUGACUGUGUGGUGAAGGUUGACUGUGUGGUGUAGGUUGACUGUGUGGUGUAGGUUGACUGUGUGGUGUAGGUUGACUGUGUGGUGUAGGUUGACUGUGUGGUGUAGGUUGACUGUGUGGUGUAGGUUGACUGUGUGGUGUAGGUUGACUGUGUGGUGUAGGUUGACUGUGUGGUGUAGGUUGACUGUGUGGUGUAGGUUGACUGUGUGGUGUAGGUUGACUGUGUGGUGAAGGUUGACUGUGUGGUGUAGGUUGACUGUGUGGUGUAGGUUGACUGUGUGGUGUAGGUUGACUGUGUGGUGUAGGUUGACUGUGUGGUGUAGGUUGACUGUGUGGUGAAGGUUGACUGUGUGGUGAAGGUUGACUGUGUGGUGAAGGUUGACUGUGUGGUGUAGGUUGACUGUGUGGUGUAGGUUGACUGUGUGGUGUAGGUUGACUGUGUGGUGAAGGUUGACUGUG
Molecule: long non-coding RNA, 1430 nt
Organism: Oncorhynchus keta (chum salmon)
Lineage: Eukaryota; Metazoa; Chordata; Actinopteri; Salmoniformes; Salmonidae
Exons: 4
Source: RefSeq, a predicted model, not a curated record